Molecule: non-coding RNA, 606 nt
Filed under: Pongo abelii (Sumatran orangutan)
Lineage: Eukaryota; Metazoa; Chordata; Mammalia; Primates; Hominidae
Source: RNAcentral
CGAAGGGACUCUGGGCGUCUGAGGCCCUGAUCCGGGCGGGCCUUCAGGAUGUUAGCAGUCCCCGUCCGGUUGAAGGUAGGAAGCCGAAAACCCGAGUGGGGGACGAACAGACUUACCUCCUGUCCCGCAAAAGAUCCACUAGAUCGUCGUCUCCAAAACCUGAGAGACCGCGAACGGAUUCCAGAGCCGCAGCGUUGUCUCAGACCUGGCGUUCAGAAAGAUUCUAGAGAGCACGGGCAGGUCCCGGAGGUCUCAGACCCGCAGGCCUGCGGGGCGGGGGCGGGGUGGCGCCCAGGACGACUCUCCGGGCUCAGCUUGGCUGCCUGCCUCCUUCUCAAACAAUGAGUACCUACUGUGUGCAGAAGCAGCAGGACAGCCUGUCAUCACUGGGAAAGAGGCCAGAAGAGCCAUUUGGCCAGGGUCUCCAAUUUAGGCUUUCAACAUUAUCUCUAAAUAAGGUUAUACAUUACGUCGGCUCCACUGGCUGAUGGGAUCAAAGACCCUCCUUGUAUAUCCUUAAACCUGUACUCUAAUACCAGGCCACUGUGCCUGUGGAGCACUGUAAGUUCCUACCUUUUAAUAAAUUUUAUAAUUAUCUUGUGAGCA